GGCUAGCCAGCCUGACCCACACUCUCCAAGGGAGUAAAUAUUGCCCUGUAAAUAAACUGUGUUAUUCCAGUCUGGAGUGCGGGUGAACAGAUGUGCAUUCGAUUUGUGACUACAAAGACAAUGACCCAACACACCUCCAGGCUGUGUAAGGGAUAUUUGACCAAGAAGGUGGGUGAUGGAGUGCUGCAUCAGAUGACCUGGCAUCCACAAUGACAUGAACUCAAGCCAAUUGAGAUGGUUUGGGAUGAGUUAGACUGCAGAGUGAAGUAAAAGAAGCCAACAAGUGCUCAGUUAAUGUUGGAACCCCUUUAAGGCUGUUGGAUAAGCAUUCCGAUUGAAGCUGGUUGAGAGAAUGCCAAGAGUGUGCAAAGCUGUCAUCAAGGCAAAGGGUGGCAACUUUGAGGAAUCUCAAAUAUAAAAUAUGUUGAUUUGUUUAAAACGUUUUUGAUUACUACAUGAUUCCAUAUGUGUUAUUUCAUAGUUUGAUGUCUUCAUUAUUGUUCUACAAUGUACAAAAUAGUAAAAAUAAAGAAAAACCCUUGAAUGAG
Molecule: long non-coding RNA, 548 nt
Organism: Oncorhynchus keta (chum salmon)
Lineage: Eukaryota; Metazoa; Chordata; Actinopteri; Salmoniformes; Salmonidae
Exons: 2
Source: RefSeq, a predicted model, not a curated record